GGGUUGUGAGGUUAAGCGACUAAGCGUACACGGUGGAUGCCCUGGCAGUCAGAGGCGAUGAAGGACGUGCUAAUCUGCGAUAAGCGUCGGUAAGGUGAUAUGAACCGUUAUAACCGGCGAUUUCCGAAUGGGGAAACCCAGUGUGUUUCGACACACUAUCAUUAACUGAAUCCAUAGGUUAAUGAGGCGAACCGGGGGAACUGAAACAUCUAAGUACCCCGAGGAAAAGAAAUCAACCGAGAUUCCCCCAGUAGCGGCGAGCGAACGGGGAGGAGCCCAGAGCCUGAAUCAGUGUGUGUGUUAGUGGAAGCGUCUGGAAAGGCGCGCGAUACAGGGUGACAGCCCCGUACACAAAAAUGCACAUGCUGUGAGCUCGAUGAGUAGGGCGGGACACGUGGUAUCCUGUCUGAAUAUGGGGGGACCAUCCUCCAAGGCUAAAUACUCCUGACUGACCGAUAGUGAACCAGUACCGUGAGGGAAAGGCGAAAAGAACCCCGGCGAGGGGAGUGAAAAAGAACCUGAAACCGUGUACGUACAAGCAGUGGGAGCACGCUUAGGCGUGUGACUGCGUACCUUUUGUAUAAUGGGUCAGCGACUUAUAUUCUGUAGCAAGGUUAACCGAAUAGGGGAGCCGAAGGGAAACCGAGUCUUAACUGGGCGUUAAGUUGCAGGGUAUAGACCCGAAACCCGGUGAUCUAGCCAUGGGCAGGUUGAAGGUUGGGUAACACUAACUGGAGGACCGAACCGACUAAUGUUGAAAAAUUAGCGGAUGACUUGUGGCUGGGGGUGAAAGGCCAAUCAAACCGGGAGAUAGCUGGUUCUCCCCGAAAGCUAUUUAGGUAGCGCCUCGUGAACUCAUCUCCGGGGGUAGAGCACUGUUUCGGCAAGGGGGUCAUCCCGACUUACCAACCCGAUGCAAACUGCGAAUACCGGAGAAUGUUAUCACGGGAGACACACGGCGGGUGCUAACGUCCGUCGUGAAGAGGGAAACAACCCAGACCGCCAGCUAAGGUCCCAAAGUCAUGGUUAAGUGGGAAACGAUGUGGGAAGGCCCAGACAGCCAGGAUGUUGGCUUAGAAGCAGCCAUCAUUUAAAGAAAGCGUAAUAGCUCACUGGUCGAGUCGGCCUGCGCGGAAGAUGUAACGGGGCUAAACCAUGCACCGAAGCUGCGGCAGCGACGCUUAUGCGUUGUUGGGUAGGGGAGCGUUCUGUAAGCCUGUGAAGGUGUGCUGUGAGGCAUGCUGGAGGUAUCAGAAGUGCGAAUGCUGACAUAAGUAACGAUAAAGCGGGUGAAAAGCCCGCUCGCCGGAAGACCAAGGGUUCCUGUCCAACGUUAAUCGGGGCAGGGUGAGUCGACCCCUAAGGCGAGGCCGAAAGGCGUAGUCGAUGGGAAACAGGUUAAUAUUCCUGUACUUGGUGUUACUGCGAAGGGGGGACGGAGAAGGCUAUGUUGGCCGGGCGACGGUUGUCCCGGUUUAAGCGUGUAGGCUGGUUUUCCAGGCAAAUCCGGAAAAUCAAGGCUGAGGCGUGAUGACGAGGCACUACGGUGCUGAAGCAACAAAUGCCCUGCUUCCAGGAAAAGCCUCUAAGCAUCAGGUAACAUCAAAUCGUACCCCAAACCGACACAGGUGGUCAGGUAGAGAAUACCAAGGCGCUUGAGAGAACUCGGGUGAAGGAACUAGGCAAAAUGGUGCCGUAACUUCGGGAGAAGGCACGCUGAUAUGUAGGUGAAGUCCCUUGCGGAUGGAGCUGAAAUCAGUCGAAGAUACCAGCUGGCUGCAACUGUUUAUUAAAAACACAGCACUGUGCAAACACGAAAGUGGACGUAUACGGUGUGACGCCUGCCCGGUGCCGGAAGGUUAAUUGAUGGGGUCAGCGCAAGCGAAGCUCUUGAUCGAAGCCCCGGUAAACGGCGGCCGUAACUAUAACGGUCCUAAGGUAGCGAAAUUCCUUGUCGGGUAAGUUCCGACCUGCACGAAUGGCGUAAUGAUGGCCAGGCUGUCUCCACCCGAGACUCAGUGAAAUUGAACUCGCUGUGAAGAUGCAGUGUACCCGCGGCAAGACGGAAAGACCCCGUGAACCUUUACUAUAGCUUGACACUGAACAUUGAGCCUUGAUGUGUAGGAUAGGUGGGAGGCUUUGAAGUGUGGACGCCAGUCUGCAUGGAGCCGACCUUGAAAUACCACCCUUUAAUGUUUGAUGUUCUAACGUUGACCCGUAAUCCGGGUUGCGGACAGUGUCUGGUGGGUAGUUUGACUGGGGCGGUCUCCUCCUAAAGAGUAACGGAGGAGCACGAAGGUUGGCUAAUCCUGGUCGGACAUCAGGAGGUUAGUGCAAUGGCAUAAGCCAGCUUGACUGCGAGCGUGACGGCGCGAGCAGGUGCGAAAGCAGGUCAUAGUGAUCCGGUGGUUCUGAAUGGAAGGGCCAUCGCUCAACGGAUAAAAGGUACUCCGGGGAUAACAGGCUGAUACCGCCCAAGAGUUCAUAUCGACGGCGGUGUUUGGCACCUCGAUGUCGGCUCAUCACAUCCUGGGGCUGAAGUAGGUCCCAAGGGUAUGGCUGUUCGCCAUUUAAAGUGGUACGCGAGCUGGGUUUAGAACGUCGUGAGACAGUUCGGUCCCUAUCUGCCGUGGGCGCUGGAGAACUGAGGGGGGCUGCUCCUAGUACGAGAGGACCGGAGUGGACGCAUCACUGGUGUUCGGGUUGUCAUGCCAAUGGCACUGCCCGGUAGCUAAAUGCGGAAGAGAUAAGUGCUGAAAGCAUCUAAGCACGAAACUUGCCCCGAGAUGAGUUCUCCCUGACUCCUUGAGAGUCCUGAAGGAACGUUGAAGACGACGACGUUGAUAGGCCGGGUGUGUAAGCGCAGCGAUGCGUUGAGCUAACCGGUACUAAUGAACCGUGAGGCUUAACCUUACAACGCCGAAG
This 2925-nucleotide ribosomal RNA is filed under the name Escherichia coli. RNAcentral describes it as "23S ribosomal RNA". It matches the Rfam family "Bacterial large subunit ribosomal RNA". The record is from RNAcentral. Lineage: Bacteria; Pseudomonadati; Pseudomonadota; Gammaproteobacteria; Enterobacterales; Enterobacteriaceae.